GCCGAUAUAGCUCAGUGGCUAGAGCAGCUGUUUUGUAAACAGCAGGUCGUCGGUUCGAACCCGACUAUCGGCUCCA
RNAcentral lists this transfer RNA (76 nucleotides) under Candidatus Berkelbacteria bacterium CG_4_10_14_0_2_um_filter_35_9_33_12. Its description in RNAcentral is "tRNA-Thr". It matches the Rfam family "tRNA". From Rfam's summary of the family: Transfer RNA (tRNA) molecules are approximately 80 nucleotides in length. Their secondary structure includes four short double-helical elements and three loops (D, anti-codon, and T loops). Further hydrogen bonds mediate the characteristic L-shaped molecular structure. tRNAs have two regions of fundamental functional importance: the anti-codon, which is responsible for specific mRNA codon recognition, and the 3' end, to which the tRNAs corresponding amino acid is attached (by aminoacyl-tRNA synthetases). tRNAs cope with the degeneracy of the genetic code in two manners: having more than one tRNA (with a specific anti-codon) for a particular amino acid; and 'wobble' base-pairing, i.e. permitting non-standard base-pairing at the 3rd anti-codon position. The record is from RNAcentral. RNAcentral also lists the same sequence under 5 other names. Lineage: Bacteria; Candidatus Berkelbacteria.